GACGAACCGCGCGAACGUUGUUCGGAAUCACUGGGCUUAAAGGGCGCGUAGGCGGCCCGCCGCGUCCGGGGUGAAAUCCUCCCGCUCAACGGGAGAACGGCCUCGGAUACGGGCGGGCUGGAGGCGGGUAGGGGCGGGCGGAACUGUGGGUGGAGCGGUGAAAUGCGUUGAUAUCCACAGGAACUCCGGUGGCGAAGGCGGCCCGCUGGACCCGAUCUGACGCUGAGGCGCGAAAGCCAGGGGAGCGAACGGG
This 253-nucleotide ribosomal RNA is filed under the name uncultured bacterium. RNAcentral describes it as "partial 16S ribosomal RNA". It matches the Rfam family "Bacterial small subunit ribosomal RNA", at positions 524 to 776 of the family's 1533-position model. The record is from RNAcentral.